RNAcentral lists this transfer RNA (52 nucleotides) under Tetranychus cinnabarinus (carmine spider mite). Its description in RNAcentral is "tRNA-Leu". Lineage: Eukaryota; Metazoa; Arthropoda; Arachnida; Trombidiformes; Tetranychidae. The record is from RNAcentral. RNAcentral also lists the same sequence under 1 other name.
UUCAUUGGAGUAUUAAAUAUAUUAAGUUUAGAACUUAAAGAUUAAAAUGAAA